GGGUGGGCAACCUCAGAAAAAGAAGACGAGAAAGGUCAAAUAACGUGUGCAAUUGCUAUCCUGACAGUAGUGUUCGUGCGGCGGGCUGUUCUCACCGUAUAAGUCUGUCACCGUCUGUAGGACUCAAUUUGUUUACAAAUAUAAAGUGUCACAACUAGCAUACUAACAGUAACCUUCGACAAGCAUUCGAUACUCUUUUGCAGCAGGUUUCGUCAAACGGCUGACAGCACUCUUCUACCUCAACGAACGGGUAAAAUGACUCGACCUUCCGGUAGCGGAAGUAACUGUCAACUUCAAAGUGCAGCUUGUAAACCCCACGCUGCAGGCCAGCGGUCUGCUGAGUAUCAAAGAAUUGUCGGAAUCGCCCGUCGGUGUCAGUGGAGCCAGAGCCAAUCUUCGUCCAGGUUGUAGUUUCCGGUGAUCCCUGUCUGUACAGCGUCACAAGCACUUCUGUUGCUGGUUGGCCACAUGUCGUGUCGAGGAUGUGUGUUGAGAGGUUCUGCAUCGUUCGAUCUUCUGGAUGCUGUAUACAGCGUGAAUGGCGGUUAGACGACGUUGACGAUGAACCUAUCACUACAAACCACGAGAUUACGACGAAGGCUAAUACAGUUAACUAUCACUAAUACACGAGUGCUUUCUGGAACGUUUUCCGGUUGUUGUGGAUGCAGAUUACACGAACAAAUAGUAAAAUUUUGCGAAUAAAGAUGUGCAGGAUGGA
Anopheles cruzii is the source of this 718-nucleotide long non-coding RNA. RefSeq lists it as uncharacterized. The record is from RefSeq and is a predicted model, not a curated record. The transcript is spliced from 3 exons. Lineage: Eukaryota; Metazoa; Arthropoda; Insecta; Diptera; Culicidae.